UACGUAGGGGGCAAGCGUUGUCCGGAAUUAUUGGGCGUAAAGAGCUCGUAGGCGGUUUGACGCGUCUGCUGUGAAAACUCGGGGCUUAACUCCGGGCCUGCAGUGGGUACGGGCAGACUAGAGUGCGGUAGGGGAGACUGGAAUUCCUGGUGUAGCGGUGAAAUGCGCAGAUAUCAGGAGGAACACCGGUGGCGAAGGCGGGUCUCUGGGCCGUAACUGACGCUGAGGAGCGAAAGCGUGGGGAGCGAACAGG
This 253-nucleotide ribosomal RNA is filed under the name uncultured bacterium. RNAcentral describes it as "partial 16S ribosomal RNA". It matches the Rfam family "Bacterial small subunit ribosomal RNA", at positions 524 to 776 of the family's 1533-position model. The record is from RNAcentral.